This 484-nucleotide ribosomal RNA is filed under the name Bacillus subtilis. RNAcentral's name for it is "bacterial SSU rRNA". It matches the Rfam family "Bacterial small subunit ribosomal RNA", at positions 93 to 562 of the family's 1533-position model. The record is from RNAcentral. Lineage: Bacteria; Bacillati; Bacillota; Bacilli; Caryophanales; Bacillaceae.
UAGCGGCGGACGGGUGAGUAACACGUGGGUAACCUGCCUGUAAGACUGGGAUAACUCCGGGAAACCGGGGCUAAUACCGGAUGGUUGUUUGAACCGCAUGGUUCAAACAUAAAAGGUGGCUUCGGCUACCACUUACAGAUGGACCCGCGGCGCAUUAGCUAGUUGGUGAGGUAACGGCUCACCAAGGCAACGAUGCGUAGCCGACCUGAGAGGGUGAUCGGCCACACUGGGACUGAGACACGGCCCAGACUCCUACGGGAGGCAGCAGUAGGGAAUCUUCCGCAAUGGACGAAAGUCUGACGGAGCAACGCCGCGUGAGUGAUGAAGGUUUUCGGAUCGUAAAGCUCUGUUGUUAGGGAAGAACAAGUACCGUUCGAAUAGGGCGGUACCUUGACGGUACCUAACCAGAAAGCCACGGCUAACUACGUGCCAGCAGCCGCGGUAAUACGUAGGUGGCAAGCGUUGUCCGGAAUUAUUGGGCGUA